CGAUCAGGGUGGGCGAGAUGAAGUGGACAUGGGCGUCGACCGCCCCGGCGGUGAGGAUUCUGCCCUGGCCCGCGAUGAUCUCCGUCUCGGGGCCGAUCACCAGCUCGGGGUGGACCCCGUCCAUGGUGUCGGGGUUGCCCGCCUUGCCGAUGCCGGUGAUCCGCCCGUCGCGGAUGCCGACAUCGGCCUUGACGACCCCCCAGUGGUCGAGGAUCACGGCACCGGUGAUCACGGUGUCCGGCGCGCCUUCGGCCCGGGUCGUCCGGGCCUGUCCCAUGGACUCCCGGAUCA
Molecule: small RNA, 291 nt
Rfam family: 5' ureB small RNA